Molecule: long non-coding RNA, 412 nt
Filed under: Hordeum vulgare
Lineage: Eukaryota; Viridiplantae; Streptophyta; Magnoliopsida; Poales; Poaceae
Description: long non-coding RNA (HVUL_LNC003553)
Source: RNAcentral
AAUACCAAACAAUAACCAAGAAGUAUGAUGCAAGGAUGCAAAUAGUUUGAGCUCUCAACGAACGAUACGAUCAAGCUACUCACUUGAGAGCCCCCCUUGACAGUACGACAAUCUAUCCUAAAACAAAAAACCUAUCAAGGACAAACAUAUACCUUGCACCUCGUCUUCUUGAGCUAGAUGACGAUGAUCUUGGCUUCCUCAAGAUGGACCACUAUUAUUGAUUGCUCCCCCAUACACACUCUGGGUGAGCCGCUCUUCAACAUAUCUUCACAAGUCCAUUGCCACCAUCCUCCACCACUUGACGUCAUCCUCCAUGGAUUGUAUGAGAUCUUCCUCUUGACGCAAGCCCAUGGAAACACACCUAACCCCACAUAGAACUAUCACGAAGACCAUGGGUUAGUACACAAAUACG